GCUGCUGAUGCCUGCUGACGUUACCAUGAAGGCUGCUGCCACCCAAAGGGACCAUCAGGAUCCUGCUGCUUGGAUCACAAGCAUGGCAUUAUCAAGAGAUUGGCUCAAACACCAUCUCCUCAGUGUAGACCUUCGUGAUGCUGCCAAGAAGAAUUAACACCUUUUUCAUCCCAUGUCCUCCAGCAGUGUGUGUCUGUGUGUGUCCCUAUUAAGAAAUUGAAGUUCCUCAAAGGCAAGAAUCAUGUUUUUCAUUUCU
Molecule: long non-coding RNA, 256 nt
Filed under: Homo sapiens (human)
Lineage: Eukaryota; Metazoa; Chordata; Mammalia; Primates; Hominidae
Description: HSALNT0337937
Source: RNAcentral